AUUGAACGCUGGCGGCAUGCUUUACACAUGCAAGUCGAACGGUAACAGGUUAAGCUGACGAGUGGCGAACGGGUGAGUAAUGCAUCGGAACGUGCCCGAUCGUGGGGGAUAACGCAGCGAAAGCUGCGCUAAUACCGCAUACGAUCUGAGGAUGAAAGCGGGGGACCGUAAGGCCUCGCGCGAUCGGAGCGGCCGAUGGCAGAUUAGGUAGUUGGUGGGGUAAAGGCCCACCAAGCCGACGAUCUGUAGCUGGUCUGAGAGGACGACCAGCCACACGGGGACUGAGACACGGCCCAGACUCCUACGGGAGGCAGCAGUGGGGAAUUUUGGACAAUGGGCGAAAGCCUGAUCCAGCAAUGCCGCGUGCAGGAAGAAGGCCUUCGGGUUGUAAACUGCUUUUGUACGGAGCGAAAAGGUCCUUUCUAAUACAAGGGGCUCAUGACGGUACCGUAAGAAUAGGCACCGGCUAACUACGUGCCAGCAGCCGCGGUAA
This 493-nucleotide ribosomal RNA is filed under the name uncultured bacterium. RNAcentral describes it as "partial 16S ribosomal RNA". It matches the Rfam family "Bacterial small subunit ribosomal RNA", at positions 29 to 523 of the family's 1533-position model. The record is from RNAcentral.